GGGUCUGUUUUCUCUGUUUUGACCUUACAAGACGUAUCUUUCAUUUGAUACUGUCUGGGGUCUGUUUUCUCUGUUUUGACCUUACAAGACGUAUCUUUCAUUUGAUACUGUCUGGGGUCUGUUUUUCACUGUUUUAGACCUUACCAGCUGUACCUUUCAUUUGGUACCUUCUGGGGUCUGUGUCUCCACUUGUUAGACUGAACCAGGCGUGUCGUUCGUUCGAUACUUUCCUGGAGUCUAUGAAUUCCUUGCCUUAGUCAGCAGUCCUCACUGCUGAGGCAUAUGAUAUUCCCUGGUGUCUCUUGCUUUCUUUAAUAAUCAAAUUCAGCAUUUUGAUAAUGAUAGCAAUUAAGGGAAAACUACUUUUUACCACAUAACACUGACCAGUCUUGGUAGAAGG
RNAcentral lists this long non-coding RNA (400 nucleotides) under Lactuca sativa (garden lettuce). RNAcentral's name for it is "long non-coding RNA (LSAT_LNC005534)". Lineage: Eukaryota; Viridiplantae; Streptophyta; Magnoliopsida; Asterales; Asteraceae. The record is from RNAcentral.